UACGUAGGGUGCAAGCGUUGUCCGGAAUUAUUGGGCGUAAAGAGCUCGUAGGCGGUCUGUCGCGUCGGCUGUGAAAACCCGUGGCUCAACCACGGGCCUGCAGUCGAUACGGGCAGACUAGAGUGCGGUAGGGGAGACUGGAAUUCCUGGUGUAGCGGUGAAAUGCGUAGAUAUCAGGAGGAACACCUGCGGUGUAGACGGCUUUCUGGACCAUUGUUGACGCUGAGACACGAAAGCGUGGGUAGCAAACAGG
Molecule: ribosomal RNA, 253 nt
Filed under: uncultured bacterium
Lineage: Bacteria
Description: partial 16S ribosomal RNA
Rfam family: Bacterial small subunit ribosomal RNA
Source: RNAcentral